RNAcentral lists this ribosomal RNA (302 nucleotides) under uncultured bacterium. RNAcentral describes it as "partial 16S ribosomal RNA". It matches the Rfam family "Bacterial small subunit ribosomal RNA", at positions 508 to 807 of the family's 1533-position model. The record is from RNAcentral.
GCAGCAGCCACGGUAAUACGAAGGGGGCUAGCGUUGCUCGGUAUGACUGGGCGUAAAGGGCGCGUAGGCGGUUUGAUCAGUCAGGCGUGAAAUUCCUGGGCUUAACCUGGGGGCUGCGCUUGAUACGGUCGAGCUAGAGGAUGGAAGAGGCUCGUGGAAUUCCCAGUGUAGAGGUGAAAUUCGUAGAUAUUGGGAAGAACACCGGUGGCGAAGGCGGCGAGCUGGUCCAUUACUGACGCUGAGGCGCGAAAGCGUGGGGAGCAAACAGGAUUAGAUACCCCCGUAGUCCCUGUCUCUUAUAC